Ciona intestinalis (vase tunicate) is the source of this 293-nucleotide non-coding RNA. The record is from RefSeq and is a predicted model, not a curated record. NCBI's taxonomy places the organism in Eukaryota, Metazoa, Chordata, Ascidiacea, Phlebobranchia, Cionidae.
CUUCCUCGAGGAGGAAACAGUUGUCGUCUUCUUUGAAAUUUCCGAACACUCCAUUAGGAUUUCUUCUUCGGCAGAUGUCCAACGUGAGGAUAAAACUGAUGAGCAAGCGGGGCUGGAACAGCUGGACAUGAAUGAGCAAUUGUUAUCUUCACGAUUAGGAUCAUUAUCACUUAAUACAGGAAUUGUAUCGUCAUCGCUUUCUUCAUUGGCAACGUAAAACUUCCAGGAUCUAAUUAUGAAAACAAAUGAUUUAUGAAGUGGAAAGAGGUUCAUGUUCAGUUUCCGUAAUCCCA